GUGUCAGCCGCCGCGGUAAUACGAAGGGGGCUAGCGUUGUUCGGAUUUACUGGGCGUAAAGCGCACGUAGGCGGUUUGUUAAGUCAGGGGUGAAAUCCCACAGCUCAACUGUGGAACUGCCUUUGAUACUGGCAAGCUAGAGUCCGGAAGAGGUAAGUGGAACUCCUAGUGUAGAGGUGGAAUUCGUAGAUAUUAGGAAGAACACCAGUGGCGAAGGCGGCUUACUGGUCCGGAACUGACGCUGAGGUGCGAAAGCGUGGGGAGCAAACAGGAUUAGAUACCCCUGUAGUCC
This 292-nucleotide ribosomal RNA is filed under the name uncultured bacterium. RNAcentral's name for it is "partial 16S ribosomal RNA". It matches the Rfam family "Bacterial small subunit ribosomal RNA", at positions 505 to 796 of the family's 1533-position model. The record is from RNAcentral.